This 1343-nucleotide ribosomal RNA is filed under the name uncultured bacterium. RNAcentral's name for it is "16S ribosomal RNA". It matches the Rfam family "Bacterial small subunit ribosomal RNA", at positions 28 to 1378 of the family's 1533-position model. The record is from RNAcentral.
GACGAACGCUGGCGGCGUGCUUAACACAUGCAAGUCGAACGGAAAGGCCCUGCUUUUGUGGGGUGCUCGAGUGGCGAACGGGUGAGUAACACGUGAGUAACCUGCCCUUGACUUUGGGAUAACUUCAGGAAACUGGGGCUAAUACCGGAUAGGAGCUCCUGCUGCAUGGUGGGGGUUGGAAAGUUUCGGCGGUUGGGGAUGGACUCGCGGCUUAUCAGCUUGUUGGUGGGGUAGUGGCUUACCAAGGCUUUGACGGGUAGCCGGCCUGAGAGGGUGACCGGCCACAUUGGGACUGAGAUACGGCCCAGACUCCUACGGGAGGCAACAGUGGGGAAUAUUGCACAAUGGGCGGAAGCCUGAUGCAGCAACGCCGCGUGCGGGAUGACGGCCUUCGGGUUGUAAACCGCUUUCGCCUGUGACGAAGCGUGAGUGACGGUAAUGGGUAAAGAAGCACCGGCUAACUACGUGCCAGCAGCCGCGGUGAUACGUAGGGUGCGAGCGUUGUCCGGAUUUAUUGGGCGUAAAGGGCUCGUAGGUGGUUGAUCGCGUCGGAAGUGUAAUCUUGGGGCUUAACCCUGAGCGUGCUUUCGAUACGGGUUGACUUGAGGAAGGUAGGGGAGAAUGGAAUUCCUGGUGGAGCGGUGGAAUGCGCAGAUAUCAGGAGGAACACCAGUGGCGAAGGCGGUUCUCUGGGCCUUUCCUGACGCUGAGGAGCGAAAGCGUGGGGAGCGAACAGGCUUAGAUACCCUGGUAGUCCACGCUGUAAACGGUGGGUACUAGGUGUGGGGUCCAUUCCACGGGUUCCGUGCCGUAGCUAACGCUUUAAGUACCCCGCCUGGGGAGUACGGCCGCAAGGCUAAAACUCAAAGGAAUUGACGGGGCCCCGCACAAGCGGCGGAGCAUGCGGAUUAAUUCGAUGCAACGCGUAGAACCUUACCUGGGUUUGACAUGGAUCGGGAGUGCUCAGAGAUGGGUGUGCCUCUUUUGGGGUCGGUUCACAGGUGGUGCAUGCCUGUCGUCAGCUCGUGUCGUGAGAUGUUGGGUUAAGUCCCGCAACGAGCGCAACCCUUGUUCACUGUUGCCAGCACGUUAUGGUGGGGACUCAGUGGAGACCGCCGGGGUCAACUCGGAGGAAGGUGGGGAUGACGUCAAGUCCUCAUGCCCCUUAUGUCCAGGGCUUCACGCAUGCUACAAUGGCUGGUACAGAGAGUGGCGAGCCUGUGAGGGUGAGCGAAUCUCGGAAAGCCGGUCUCAGUUCGGAUUGGGGUCUGCAACUCGACCUCAUGAAGUCGGAGUCGCUAGUAAUCGCAGAUCAGCAACGCUGCGGUGAAUACGUUCCCGGG